GAUGAAGAACGUAGCGAAAUGCGAUACGUAAUGUGAAUUGCAGAAUUCAGUGAAUCAUCGAAUCUUUGAACGCACCUUGCGCCCUUUGGCUAUUCCGAAGGGCAUGCCUGUUUGAGUAUCAUGAACACCUCAACUCUCAUGGCUUGCCAUGAUGAGCUUGGACUUUUGGGGGUCUUGCUGGCCUGUGGUCAGCUCCUCUCAAAUGAAUUAGCCUGCCAGUGUUUGGUGGCAUCACAGGUGUGAUAACUAUCUACGCUUGUGGUUUUCCACCAGGUAACCUUCAGUGAUGAAGGUUCGCUGGGGCUCAUAAACGUCUCUCCUCAGUGAGGACAGCUCUUUGAACGUUUGAUCUCAAAUCAGGUAGGACUACCCGCUGAACUUAAGCAUAUCAAUAAGCGGAGGA
This 403-nucleotide unclassified non-coding RNA is filed under the name soil metagenome. Its description in RNAcentral is "partial contains 5.8S ribosomal RNA, internal transcribed spacer 2, and large subunit ribosomal RNA". The stretch from base 1 to 121 matches the Rfam family "5.8S ribosomal RNA", at positions 35 to 154 of the family's 154-position model. The record is from RNAcentral.